Molecule: RNA transcript, 1189 nt
Organism: Piliocolobus tephrosceles (Ugandan red Colobus)
Lineage: Eukaryota; Metazoa; Chordata; Mammalia; Primates; Cercopithecidae
Gene name: obg-like ATPase 1 pseudogene
Exons: 1
Source: RefSeq, a predicted model, not a curated record
AUGCCCCUUAAAAAGGGAGGUGAUGGAAUUAAACCACCCCCAAUCAUUGGAAGAUUUGGAACCUCACUGAAAAUUGGUAUUGUUGGAUUGCCAAAUGUUGGGAAAUCUACUUUCUUCAAUGUAUUAACCAAUAGUCAGGCUUCAGUAGAAAACUUCCCAUUCUGCAGUAUUGAUCCUAAUGAGAGCAGAGUACCUGUGCCAGAUGAAAGGUUUGACUUUCUUUGCCAAUACCACAAACCAGCAAGCAAAAUUCCUGCCUUUCUAAAUGUAGUGGAUAUUGCUGACCUUGUGAAAGGAGCUCACAAUGGGCAGGGCCUGGGGAAUGCUUUUUUAUCUCAUAUUAGUGCCUGGGAUGGCAUCUUUCAUCUAACACGUGCUUUUGAAGAUGAUGAUAUCACGUAUGUUGAAGGAAGUGUAGAUCCUAUUUGAGAUAUAUAAAUAAUACAUGAAGAGCUUCAGCUUAAAGAUGAGGAAAUGAUUGGGCUCAUUAUAGAUAAACUAGAAAAGGUGGCUGUGAGAGGAGGAGAUAAAAAACUAAAACCUGAAUAUGAUAUAACGUGCAAAGUAAAAUCUUGGGUUAUAGAUCAAAAGAAACCUGUUCGCUUCUAUCAUGAUUGGAAUGACAAAGAGAUUGAAGUGUUCAAUAAACACUUAUUUUUGACUUCAAAACCAAUGGUCUAUUUGGUUAAUCUUUCUGAAAAAGACUACAUUCGAAAGAAAAAUAAAUGGUUGAUAAAAAUUAAAGAGUGAGUGGACAAGUAUGACCCAGGUGCCUUGGUCAUUCCUUUUAGCGGGGCCUUGGAACUCAAAUUGCAAGAAUUGAGUGCUGAGGAGAGACAGAAGUAUCUGGAAGCGAACAUGACACAAACUGCUUUGCCAAAGACUAUUAAGGCUGGGUUUGCAGCACUCCAACUAGAAUACUUUUUCACUGCAGGCCCAGAUGAAGUGCAUGCAUGGACUAUCAGGAAAGGGACUAAGACUCCUCAGGCUGCAGGAAAGAUUCACACAGAUUUUGAAAAGGGAUUCAUUAUGGCUGAAGUAAUGAAAUACGAAGAUUUUAAAGGGGAAGGUUCUGAAAAUGCAGUCAAGGCUGCUAGAAAGUACAGACAACAGGCAGAAAUUAUAUUGUUGAAGAUGGAGAUAUUAUUUCUUCAAAUUUAACACACCUCAACAACCAAAGAAAAAAUAA